GAUCAACCCACAAAUCGAGGGAAUCAGGAUAAGGGACGAAACAUUCACCGUCGCUGCAUACGCAGACGACAUCCUCCUAACCCUAACUAACCCCCUCCCAACCCUAGAGGCCCUAAUGUCAACCCUACAAGAAUACUCAACGAUUUCAGGAUAUCAAUUAAAUGCCACAAAAUCAGACCUCAUGCCGCUAAACCUCAACAAUAUCACUACCUCCACCUUGAGAAGUAACUUCCCCUUCCAUAUCUGCCCAACAGAGAUCACAUACCUAGGUAUCCAAAUCACCAACGACACCACCACUCUAUACACUGCCAACUAUCCCCCCCUCCUGCACAAAGCGUACUCGGACCUAGAACGCUGGAAACCGAUGUCCAUCUCCUGGCUCGGAAGAAUAGCGUCGGUCAAAAUGAAUCUCCUACCUAAAUUCCUUUAUGCCUUCCAAGCGCUUCCCAUCCCCUGUAAAAAAUCAGACCUCAAAC
Molecule: non-coding RNA, 476 nt
Organism: Pelobates cultripes (western spadefoot toad)
Lineage: Eukaryota; Metazoa; Chordata; Amphibia; Anura; Pelobatidae
Source: the annotation of a GenBank genome assembly